GUGGGAUCCGUACGUCAUACAAAAGAUACCACUGUACGACAGCGGCACGGCCGACAGUAGCACACCCUGGAUACAAACAGCCACUGGAAUUGCCGUGACCACCAUAUGUGUUCUCGUUGGAGUCCUUAGUAUCGCUUUUGCAACCGUAAUGAUCGUGAAGUACUGCAGAGAUAGAAGUAAGAGCAAAACAGCAGACGCAGCAGCCAAUUCUACCAGUAAUAAACCGAGAGCUGAGGUCGUGGAGUCCGAACAAGGAGCCACCACCAUAUUCACGCCAGGGGCGGAGGGCUGGACUUCACGCAGUGACAGCA
Long non-coding RNA from Pecten maximus, 311 nucleotides. RefSeq lists it as uncharacterized. Lineage: Eukaryota; Metazoa; Mollusca; Bivalvia; Pectinida; Pectinidae. The transcript is spliced from 3 exons. The record is from RefSeq and is a predicted model, not a curated record.